CCCUUAGAUGUUCUGGGCCGCACGCGCGCUACACUGAUCAGUGCAACAAGCAUCCGUCCUUGGCCGACAGGCCCGGGCAAUCUUUGAACGCUGGUCGUGAUGGGGAUAGACUUUUGCAAUUUUUGGUCUUCAACGAGGAAUUCCUAGUAAACGCAAGUCAUCAACUUGCAUUGAUUACGUCCCUGCCCUUUGUACACACCGCCCGUCGCACCUACCGAUUGAAUGGUCCGGUGAAGCCUCCGGAUUGGCGCGCACCUCGGUGCCGCCGAGAAGUUGGCUAAACCUUACCAUUUAGAGGAAGGUGAANUCGUAACA
Molecule: ribosomal RNA, 315 nt
Filed under: uncultured eukaryote
Lineage: Eukaryota
Description: partial 18S ribosomal RNA
Rfam family: Eukaryotic small subunit ribosomal RNA
Source: RNAcentral